RNAcentral lists this ribosomal RNA (468 nucleotides) under uncultured bacterium. Its description in RNAcentral is "partial 16S ribosomal RNA". It matches the Rfam family "Bacterial small subunit ribosomal RNA", at positions 28 to 507 of the family's 1533-position model. The record is from RNAcentral.
GACGAACGCUGGCGGCGUGCUUAACACAUGCAAGUCGAACGGAAAGGCCCUGCUUUUGUGGGGUGCUCGAGUGGCGAACGGGUGAGUAACACGUGAGUAACCUGCCCUUGACUUUGGGAUAACUUCAGGAAACUGGGGCUACUACCGGAUAGGAGCUCCCGCUGCAUGGUGGGGGUUGGAAAGUUUCGGCGGUCGGGGAUGGACUCGCGGCUUAUCAGCUUGUUGGUGGGGGAGUGGCUUACCAAGGCUUUGACGGGUAGCCGGCCUGAGAGGGUGACCGGCCACAUUGGGACUGAGAUACGGCCCAGACUCCUACGGGAGGCAGCAGGGGGGAAUAUUGCCCAAUGGGCGGAAGCCUGAUGCAGCAACGCCGCGGGCGGGAUGACGGCCUUCGGGUUGUAAACCGCUUUCGCCUGUGACGAAGCGUGAGUGACGGUAAUGGGUAAAGAAGCACCGGCUAACUACGUG